This is a non-coding RNA of Caerostris darwini, 83 nucleotides long. Lineage: Eukaryota; Metazoa; Arthropoda; Arachnida; Araneae; Araneidae. The record is from the annotation of a GenBank genome assembly.
UCUCGUUAGAUCACCGAAGUUAAGCAUCAUUGGGCGCGGUCAGUACUUGGGUGGGUGACCACCUGCGAACACUGCGUGCCGUU